GGGAGUUGGCGGCGUGCUAAUACAUGCAAGUCGAACGCUUCUUUCCUCCCGAGUGCUUGCACUCAAUUGGAAAGAGGAGUGGCGGACGGGUGAGUAACACGUGGGUAACCUACCCAUCAGAGGGGGAUAACACUUGGAAACAGGUGCUAAUACCGCAUAACAGUUUAUGCCGCAUGGCAUAAGAGUGAAAGGCGCUUUCGGGUGUCGCUGAUGGAUGGACCCGCGGUGCAUUAGCUAGUUGGUGAGGUAACGGCUCACCAAGGCCACGAUGCAUAGCCGACCUGAGAGGGUGAUCGGCCACACUGGGACUGAGACACGGCCCAGACUCCUACGGGAGGCAGCAGUAGGGAAUCUUCGGCAAUGGACGAAAGUCUGACCGAGCAACGCCGCGUGAGUGAAGAAGGUUUUCGGAUCGUAAAACUCUGUUGUUAGAGAAGAACAAGGACGUUAGUAACUGAACGUCCCCUGACGGUAUCUAACCAGAAAGCCACGGCUAACUCCGUGCCAGCAGCCGCAA
Molecule: ribosomal RNA, 517 nt
Filed under: Enterococcus faecalis
Lineage: Bacteria; Bacillati; Bacillota; Bacilli; Lactobacillales; Enterococcaceae
Description: bacterial SSU rRNA
Rfam family: Bacterial small subunit ribosomal RNA
Source: RNAcentral